UGAUACCAGGGUCAAAAGGUCGUGCGUUUCAUGCUUGCAUGAAAAAGCAUGACUUUGGGGCCCGAAAAACAUGAGAAAGUAGCCCGAGCAGAGCGGAUUUCGAAUGUUUUUAGGAUUGCGGGAGCACAAAGUGCGGAGCAAUCCGUAGGCAUCA
This 154-nucleotide small RNA is filed under the name Muricomes intestini. Its description in RNAcentral is "Clostridiales-1 RNA". It matches the Rfam family "Clostridiales-1 RNA". The record is from RNAcentral. Lineage: Bacteria; Bacillati; Bacillota; Clostridia; Lachnospirales; Lachnospiraceae.